CCUGGCCCACUGCACGCUGGCUGACCUGCCCGCUCGCCCCACGGACAGCUGCUCCCCUCCUUCGCCCGGGACCCAAGGCCCGGCCCUUCGGCCGGAUGGAUGGACGGAUAUUGGCCCCGGCAGAUGGACAGGCGGACGGUCGGUCGGCUGCCGGCCGGCUCCUGGAACCUGGGCCCCUCCAUACUACCCAUUUCCUGGGCCCUCCCGAUCCAGGAAACAAGACGGGCGGGGCGUGGGCCGGCCAGGAGCCCUCAAGACAGUCCCGGGGCGCGGCGCCGCCCAGAGGGGGCAAGAACCCGUGUCCCGAGGUAGAGAGAAAAAGCAACGGAGACAAAGCAAGCCGACUGGUCCCCAUGCGCACGCUCCAGCCCGAACGUGCACCCACCGCUCCAGCCCGAACGUGCACCCACCUCACCUCACUGUCUCGGGGGGCUUCUCCUGGCCUGAGAGGGACCUGGCGGGGAAGGCAUCCAAGCGGAAGCGGAAUCCUGACACCUUGGCUGCAGGUCCUGGGCCCCUCCCCGUCCCCGCCUCUGCCUGGACCCCUCCUCACCUCUCCUCCCUGCCCGCCCCACCCCACCCCCACCCCGGUGCCCCCAAGCCCGGCCACCCCCUCCCCCUCCCCCUAGCCCGGCCACCCCACACCCACCCCGACCCCUCCCCUGCCAGCCUCAGGGCCCUGCCUCCUGCCCCAGGCCCAGCCCAAGCCCCUUCCUUGCGAAAGCCGCCUCUUCAGCAGGGCCUCUCUCUGAUCUGUGUCAGGCUCUGGGACCCUAUGGGUCCCGAGUGCCUCUCUGGGUCUGGGGGUCGUAUCCCCUCCUCCCGCCACCUCUCCUUCCGUCUCUGGGUCUCUGUCAGUCUCCCUAGCUUCUUCUCUCUCCCUCUCUCUCCCUCUCUCUCUCUCCCUCUCUCUCUCUCUCUCUCUCUCUCUCUCUCUCUCUCUCUGCCCCCCACCCCCGCCUGCGCUGGCACGCGCACCCGCGUGCGCGUUUGUGUGUGUGUGUGUGUGUGUGUGUGUGUAUUGUGUGAGUGUGACAGAGCCAGAGAGCCAGAGAGAGACGUGGUGGGUGGGUGGGGGUGGCAUCUUGUGGGCAGGGGAACAGGCUCCGAGCCCGCCCGGCCGCCUGCCCAUCCUCAGCUCUCCCCGCCAGGAGCUCUCCGGUUUGACGACGAGGCCCCCCGCCCCGUGUCCUGGACUCCUGUGGGGAAGGGUGGCCUUGGAAAGGCCACCUGGCGGGCCUGAUGCCCUCCUGCUGCACGCUGGUCGCUCCGCGUGGGGUUGGCGCAAGGGUGAGGGGGCG
Molecule: long non-coding RNA, 1301 nt
Filed under: Sus scrofa (pig)
Lineage: Eukaryota; Metazoa; Chordata; Mammalia; Artiodactyla; Suidae
Description: lncRNA (ENSSSCG00070018576.1)
Source: RNAcentral